This 182-nucleotide unclassified non-coding RNA is filed under the name uncultured fungus. RNAcentral's name for it is "sequence contains ITS1". The record is from RNAcentral. Lineage: Eukaryota; Fungi.
UUGAUUGAUUUGUAUUCAAUACUCGACGCAAAGAUGCAGAAUUGAUUGGUCCUCUGGGGGACCCCUAACCGCGGACGGCCGGGUCGCCCCCCGAGGCAACAGAUAAUAUCGACAAAGGGUUGGAGGUCGGGCGCGAGGGCCCUCACUCAGUAAUGAUCCCUCCGCAGGUUCACCUACGGAGA